AAUAAGAUGCCUGAGGUUAAAGGACUAUUUUGAUAGAAUAGGUUACGUAUUAUAUACUCUUAUUA
This 65-nucleotide transfer RNA is filed under the name Tuxedo susansolomonae. Its description in RNAcentral is "tRNA-Ile". RNAcentral also lists the same sequence under 1 other name. The record is from RNAcentral. Lineage: Eukaryota; Metazoa; Arthropoda; Insecta; Hemiptera; Miridae.